UGGGGAAUUUUGGACAAUGGGCGCAAGCCUGAUCCAGCCAUGCCGCGUGCAGGAUGAAGGCCUUCGGGUUGUAAACUGCUUUUGUACGGAACGAAAAGGUGCCUUCUAAUAAAGGGCGCUCAUGACGGUACCGUAAGAAUAAGCACCGGCUAACUACGUGCCAGCAGCCGCGGUAAUACGUAGGGUGCGAGCGUUAAUCGGAAUUACUGGGCGUAAAGCGUGCGCAGGCGGUUUUGUAAGACAGAGGUGAAAUCCCCGGGCUCAACCUGGGAACUGCCUUUGUGACUGCAAGGCUGGAGUGCGGCAGAGGGUGAUGGAAUUCCACGUGUAGCAGUGAAAUGCGUAGAUAUGCGGAGGAACACCGAUGGCGAAGGCAAUCCCCUGGGCCUGCACUGACGCUCAUGCACGAAAGCGUGGGGAGCAAACA
This 427-nucleotide ribosomal RNA is filed under the name uncultured bacterium. RNAcentral's name for it is "bacterial SSU rRNA". It matches the Rfam family "Bacterial small subunit ribosomal RNA", at positions 355 to 774 of the family's 1533-position model. The record is from RNAcentral.